UACGGAGGGUGCGAGCGUUGUCCGGAAUCAUUGGGCGUAAAGGGCGCGUAGGUGGCCCCUCAAGCGUGCGGUGAAAGUCAGGGGCUCAACCCCUGAUCGGCCGUGCGAACUGGGGAGCUUGAGCACUGUAGAGGCAGGCGGAAUUCCGGGUGUAGCGGUGGAAUGCGUAGAGAUCCGGAAGAACACCGGUGGCGAAGGCGGUCCGCUGGGGUGUUGCUGACGCUGAGGCGCGACAGCGUGGGGAGCAAACAGG
RNAcentral lists this ribosomal RNA (253 nucleotides) under uncultured bacterium. Its description in RNAcentral is "partial 16S ribosomal RNA". It matches the Rfam family "Bacterial small subunit ribosomal RNA", at positions 524 to 776 of the family's 1533-position model. The record is from RNAcentral.